GACCUGAGCCAAAAUCCAGAGUCGGAUGCUCAACUGACUGAGCCACCCAGGCACCCCUGGGGGAAUUUUUUUUUUUAAUGCUUCAGGAAAGUAAUUUAAGGAUUAGUAUAAAGUACAUGGAUUUACAACAUAGAAUGAAAACUGUAGGCAUUUUCUCAUAAAAUUAAGCAUAAUUAUACACAAGUAUAUGUAAACCAUAUUCAGUGAGGUUUUGUUUUUCUCUGUUACAGGUUAAGAUACGUUUUGGAAAUAGGCAGCCCUCAAAUCGCAAUUGCUUGAUAUACCAAAGUUGUCUUUCUGUCUGACAGAGGUUGGCCUUUUCUCUGCACCUUAUUAUCUCCACUGCAGCUCCAGACUGACUGAAUGGUUCUCUCUGGGAAAAUGCUGGUCUGAAGGCAGAGGGGGAAAAAACGAGUACCUUUGUGUUGAACUUGCACCAUGUUAUACUUCCCUUUCAUAACUUUUUGAAAGAAGUUCCUUUGGUGAUGGAGGCAUAGUUUUCUAAUCUUUACAACCCAAACCUCCCUCCUGCCCCAACCCAGAUGGCAGACAAACUGAUUCCUGCACACGUGGUUCUACUCUGUGUGUGUUUGUGUGUGAUGCACUACCUCUUCUCUCGAGUGAACCAGGCACAUUAAAGAGCACAGCUCCCAUUCUCCAAGAUUCUGUCUUAUCUGAGAUACGUUAUGCUGCUCCUUCCUGGAUUUUGAAGUCUGAAGCUUAAGUUUGCCCGAAGUUGAUGUUUGUGGAACUCUGAAAAUUUCCCUUGUAACUGUAUGUAAUUUCAGAAAAAAGAAAGUUUUUGAAUUAUGAUGGCAUUAUGGUUAGGUCAGAAAUCUGAAUGACCUUUUAGUAAUUCUAGGAGAGAAACAGCUAGAAAAUUGAAUGCUUAUUAGUAAAAGAUGUGACCAAUAUAGUGUGGGUUAGGAAAUAUUACUCAUAACUAGGUUAAAAGUUACUCUGAAAAUUUUUCAUUUUUUCACACUACUAGUAUUUUUGCAUAUUGUAUAAAAUUGCCACUAAUUCCUCCCAUGUCUCUAUGUACACACCCUUAGGCCUAGUACUUUGAGGUGGAGUCUCUUUCUCCACUCCCAUUAAUCUUGGCUCAUUUUGUAACUUGCUUUGGUCAGUAGAUGAGAGCAGAAGUGAUAUCAUAGGAGUUUUUUAGUUUUUUUAAUGUUUAUUUUGAGAGAGAGAGAGAGAGAGAGAGAGAGCGAGAGCGUGUGCGAGAGCUCAUGAGGAAGGAAGGGGCAGAGAGAGAAUCCCAAGCAGGCUCCCUGCUGUCUUUGCAGAGCUCCAUGUGGGAUUGGAUCUCACAACUGUGAGAUCACGACCUGAGCUGAUAUCAAGAGUCAGAUGUUCAAGAGACUGAGCCACCCAGAAGCUUCAUGGAGUUCUAAGCUCGGAUCUCAAAGACCUCUUGGCUUCUGCUCUUACUCUUAAGGAAUCUUGUCAGCAUUGUGUAGACAACAGGCUAGCAUCUUUGAAGGUUUUCAAAGACUAUGGGAGAGAGGCCCAACUUGACCACUAACUGCCAGACAAGUGUUUGAAGCCAUUUUAGACCAUUUGGUUGCAAUUGCACUAUC
RNAcentral lists this long non-coding RNA (1586 nucleotides) under Felis catus (domestic cat). RNAcentral's name for it is "lncRNA (ENSFCAG00000050521.1)". The record is from RNAcentral. Lineage: Eukaryota; Metazoa; Chordata; Mammalia; Carnivora; Felidae.